Malania oleifera is the source of this 2282-nucleotide RNA transcript. It is a transcript of the gene named protein ANTAGONIST OF LIKE HETEROCHROMATIN PROTEIN 1, with no coding region annotated. NCBI's taxonomy places the organism in Eukaryota, Viridiplantae, Streptophyta, Magnoliopsida, Santalales, Ximeniaceae. The record is from RefSeq and is a predicted model, not a curated record. The transcript has 3 exons.
GUUGGGGGUAUAAAAGAAAAAAGAAAAGAACUCUUCGUAUGACUCAACCAUGGUGUCUAUGAUCCCCGGCCAACCACCCCGAUUUCAUUCAACAAACCCACAAGCCUUUCCUGCUACUACCACGGCUACAUCGGUUGCGAGCCUUGCUCCCCAAAACCACCAUUCAUGGCCGACGGCGGCGGCGGCAGCGGUAGAGGUAGAGGCAGGGGCAGAGGCAGAGGUGUAGGUGGAGGCAGAAGCAGCGGCGGAGGCAGCGGCAGUGUCAGUGUUAGUGGCAGGGGCAGGGGCAGGGGCAGAGGCAGGCCGAGAAAGAUUAGCAUCGCUCCCGCUUGCGCUACCGACGACGCCAACUCCGAAGACCACGAAUCGACGCCUUCCCGUCACCCCGAGCACCACCGCCAGAAUGAGCUCACCCAACUCAUCUCGCUCCUCUCCUCCGCCGCCUCCGCCGCACAUUCCUUCCUCUCCCACCACGAUCUCAACCUCCUCCCGUCUCAAGUUCUAGCCUUAGAGUCCCACCUCUCUUCUACCGCUCGUGCUCUAUCAACCCUUCUCUCUCUCCUCCACCACCCCCCCAAACUCAUCGCUCCCCCACUCCCUUCGCCCCCCUCCUCCUGGUUCCAACGCUUCCUCUCCGCCGCCUCCGCCGACUACGACCGCCGAUGGCUCGAUGCCUUUCGAAUGUCCAAGCAGUCCUUCGUUCUCCUCCUCAGAAUUCUCACUCCCUCUUUGCAACACUCUCUGCCGUCUAUCCCUCCCAAUUGUGCUCUCGCGGCCGCCAUUUUCCGAUUAGCUCAUGCGGCGUCGUAUAAGUCGGUCGGUCGGCGGUUCGGGCUCGAUUCCGGUGGCGCUUGUCGCGCUUUUUUCGUUGUCUGUAAGGUGGUGAAUGAUAAAUUGGGGCAUAUGUUUGAGUUUCGGUCUGAUAUAGGGAGAAUCGUAGUGGGUUUUGGGUGGAUUUCGCUUCCGAAUUGCUGCGGGGUUUUGGGGCUUUGUCGCUUUCCGGUGGAAGGCGAAUUGUUGGGAAAAGAUGGGGGACUGAUGGUUCAAGCAUUGGUGGAUUCAGAAGGGAGGUUCUUGGAUGUUUCAGCGGGUUGGCCUAGUACAAUGAAACCGGAAGCAAUUUUGCGCCAGACGAAGCUGUUUUUGGGGGUUGAGGAAACAAGGGAUUUGUUGGAUGGCCCAUCCUUUGAGCUUAGUGAUGGGAGUUCGGUUUCUCAAUACAUACUGGGAGACUCUUGCUUUCCCCUCUUGCCAUGGCUUCUUACACCUUUUACAAGAUCUGGCGAGAGGGGAAGUUUAAGUUCUUCAGAACGAGCAUUCAAUUCUGUGCAUAGCCGCGGGAUGGGACUAGUUGCAACAGCCUUUGGCAGACUUCGUGCUCGAUGGCAGCUUCUAUCAAAGCGGUGGAAAGAAGAAUGUCUUGAUUUCUUCCCAUUUGUUAUUGUCACUGGUUGCCUGCUGCACAAUUUUCUGAUAAAGUGUAGCGAGCCGCUGCCAUAUGAAUUCUUAGGACAAUUGAAGGAACAAAAUCUUCCUGUAUUUGAAGGAGAGGUGAAUGAGAGUGGGAGAAGGAUCAGGGAUGCGCUUGCCUUGCACUUGAGCCGGGAAUUUGGUUGAUUUGGACUAUACUACGAACAACAUUUAACGUUUUUCAGAUUUGCUAUCAGGAAUAAAUGUAAACAUAUACUUGAUAGAUGGGUUACAUCACAUGAAGGAAUCUGAAGAGGCAAAAGUCAAAAGGAGAUCAACCAUUACUUGCAAAUCCUAUGUUUAGUUGAUGCAGCAGUGGUGAACAAUUUUGAGGGAUUGAUAAAAGGAGAUCAACCAUUAUUUGCAAAUCCCAUGUUUAGUUGAUGCAGCAGUGGUGAACAAUUUUGAGGGAUUGAUAAAAUCAUAAAAUUGAUAACUAAGAUAGUAAUGUUUAAUUGACAAAGUUCUGGUCCUCUUUGGAUAGGUUAAUUACCAAGAAGAAAUAAAUCUAUAUGGCACAAUUACUUGUAAAUUUCUUUAACCAGGCUCAAGCUAUCAAAUGACUGAAUUUUUGUCGACUAAUGUUCAAUCCAAAUUACAACAGUAGGUGAUUCAUUUCUCGUCCCAUAUCCAUUCCUAUUUCUUUCACUUUACAUGAAAUUUGAAAAUAGAAGUAAUAGUUUUUUAUUUUUUAUUUUUUAUUAUUUCAUUUAAUAUGUAAUAAGAAAUGAAUGGAUAUUCUCAUGAUCAAAUUUGAGAAUACUUAUUCUUUAUAUUUUCCUUGUUAUAAAUUCAAAAAGCAUUUCAUUUUG